Molecule: ribosomal RNA, 484 nt
Filed under: uncultured bacterium
Lineage: Bacteria
Description: partial 16S ribosomal RNA
Rfam family: Bacterial small subunit ribosomal RNA
Source: RNAcentral
AUUGAACGCUGGCGGCAGGCCUAACACAUGCAAGUCGAGCGGAUGAAGGGAGCUUGCUCCUGGAUUCAGCGGCGGACGGGUGAGUAAUGCCUAGGAAUCUGCCUGGUAGUGGGGGAUAACGUCCGGAAACGGGCGCUAUUACCGCAUACGUCCUGAGGGAGAAAGUGGGGGAUCUUCGGACCUCACGCUAUCAGAUGAGCCUAGGUCGGAUUAGCUAGUUGGUGGGGUAAAGGCCUACCAAGGCGACGAUCCGUAACUGGUCUGAGAGGAUGAUCAGUCACACUGGAACUGAGACACGGUCCAGACUCCUACGGGAGGCAGCAGUGGGGAAUAUUGGACAAAGGGCGAAAGCCUGAUCCAGCCAUGCCGCGUGUGUGAAGAAGGUCUUCGGAUUGUAAAGCACUUUAAGUUGGGAGGAAGGGCAGUAAGUUAAUACCUUGCUGUUUUGACGUUACCAACAGAAUAAGCACCGGCUAACUUCGUG